RNAcentral lists this transfer RNA (75 nucleotides) under Bacteroidales bacterium. RNAcentral describes it as "tRNA-Val". It matches the Rfam family "tRNA". Rfam says of the family: Transfer RNA (tRNA) molecules are approximately 80 nucleotides in length. Their secondary structure includes four short double-helical elements and three loops (D, anti-codon, and T loops). Further hydrogen bonds mediate the characteristic L-shaped molecular structure. tRNAs have two regions of fundamental functional importance: the anti-codon, which is responsible for specific mRNA codon recognition, and the 3' end, to which the tRNAs corresponding amino acid is attached (by aminoacyl-tRNA synthetases). tRNAs cope with the degeneracy of the genetic code in two manners: having more than one tRNA (with a specific anti-codon) for a particular amino acid; and 'wobble' base-pairing, i.e. permitting non-standard base-pairing at the 3rd anti-codon position. Lineage: Bacteria; Pseudomonadati; Bacteroidota; Bacteroidia; Bacteroidales. The record is from RNAcentral.
GGGCGGUUAGCUCAGCUGGUUUAGAGCACCUGCCUUACAAGCAGGGGGUCACUGGUUCGAAUCCAGUACCGCCCA